RNAcentral lists this ribosomal RNA (409 nucleotides) under Brucella melitensis. RNAcentral describes it as "partial 16S ribosomal RNA". It matches the Rfam family "Bacterial small subunit ribosomal RNA", at positions 355 to 776 of the family's 1533-position model. RNAcentral also lists the same sequence under 1 other name. Lineage: Bacteria; Pseudomonadati; Pseudomonadota; Alphaproteobacteria; Hyphomicrobiales; Brucellaceae. The record is from RNAcentral.
UGGGGAAUAUUGCACAAUGGGCGAAAGCCUGAUGCAGCGACGCCGCGUGAGGGAUGACGGCCUUCGGGUUGUAAACCUCUUUCAGCAGGGACGAAGCGCAAGUGACGGUACCUGCAGAAGAAGCACCGGCUAACUACGUGCCAGCAGCCGCGGUAAUACGUAGGGUGCAAGCGUUGUCCGGAAUUACUGGGCGUAAAGAGUUCGUAGGCGGUUUGUCGCGUCGUUUGUGAAAACCAGCAGCUCAACUGCCGGCUUGCAGGCGAUACGGGCAGACUUGAGUACUGCAGGGGAGACUGGAAUUCCUGGUGUAGCGGUGAAAUGCGCAGAUAUCAGGAGGAACACCGGUGGCGAAGGCGGGUCUCUGGGCAGUAACUGACGCUGAGGAACGAAAGCGUGGGUAGCGAACAGG